UGCCAGCCGCCGCGGUAAUACGGAGGGGGCAAGCGUUGUUCGGAUUUACUGGGCGUAAAGGGCGCGUAGGCGGCAUGCCAAGUCGGAGGUGAAAUGCCCGGGCUUAACCUGGGAACUGCCUUCAAAACUGGCAAGCUCGAGACCGGGAGAGGUAAGCGGAAUUUCCAGUGUAGAGGUGAAAUUCGUAGAUAUUGGAAAGAACACCAGUGGCGAAGGCGGCCUACUGGACCGGAUCUGACGCUGAGGCGCCAAAGCGUGGGGAGCAAACAGGAUUAGAUA
This 279-nucleotide ribosomal RNA is filed under the name uncultured bacterium. Its description in RNAcentral is "partial 16S ribosomal RNA". It matches the Rfam family "Bacterial small subunit ribosomal RNA", at positions 506 to 784 of the family's 1533-position model. The record is from RNAcentral.